This 433-nucleotide ribosomal RNA is filed under the name uncultured bacterium. RNAcentral's name for it is "partial 16S ribosomal RNA". It matches the Rfam family "Bacterial small subunit ribosomal RNA", at positions 29 to 507 of the family's 1533-position model. The record is from RNAcentral.
AACGAACGCUGGCGGCAUGCCUAACACAUGCAAGUCGAACGAGACCUUCGGGUCUAGUGGCGCACGGGUGCGUAACGCGUGGGAACCUGCCCUUAGGUUCGGAAUAACUCCCCGAAAGGGGUGCUAAUACCGGAUAAUGUCUUCGGACCAAAGAUUUAUCGCCUUUGGAUGGGCCCGCUUUGGAUUAGCUAGUUGUUAGGGUAAAAGCCUACCAAGGCGACGAUCCAUAGCUGGUCUGAGAGGAUGAUAAGCCACAAUGGGAAUGAGACACGGCCCAGACUCCGACGGGAGGAAGCAGUGGGGAAUAUUGGAAAAUGGGCGAAAGCAUGAUCAAGCAAUGCCGCGUGAGUGAUGAAGGCCUUAGGGUUGUAAAGCUCUUUUACCCGGGAUGAUAAUGACAGUACCGGGAGAAUAAGCACCGGCUAACUCCGUG